UGACUUCACACCUAUCUAGUAUUUGGUUCCACUUUUCACAAACAGGUUUAUCACUGUUCACAAAAUAUUUGGACUUUAUUGCUGUGCUUUCUUGCAACUUAUGUAUUUCUCUUCUAGCAAAGCAAACCCACGUUUCUCCUCCCUCACGAUGGCGAUGAUCAACACGUAUUUGGUUGUCACUCCUCUCAUUUACUGUUGACAGCCAUUUACCUAUUUCCAAUUUGGGUUCUCUCUCAAAUCUACAAAAUUUUUCCCCAAAAUCACCUACAAAAUUGGAAUCCUCAAAAGACCCACAAAGGGUGUCAAUGUUUGAACAGAUGGGUUGCCAUCAUCAACCAGACAACUACCACGCUCGCUCUUUUUCUUCACCUCCCAACACCAAACGAUGCUAUAACUGUUGGAGACUUGGUAUAACUGUUGUUCAUGGGCCUAAAUCCAAAAUCAGAGACAAGGUAAUUUCUUUCAAAAGCAGUAAUCUUUUUACAAGGAAAAAAAAAAUAAAGGAAUUCAAUUGCCCUAAUCUAUCCUUGAUUCUUUACGCUUUCCUUUUCUUUAGAUUGAGAUAAAUAGAUAUGGAGAGACCUAUUAAAUGCUUUCUAAGCUUUGUUAAUUGAUGAAUAUCCUAAAAAGAUUCUAAUAUUAGACUUUGAAUCAAAUUUCCACAUUUUCUCUUUUGUGUUCAAAAUAAAGUAUUUGCAAUCAAAAGCUCUACUAACAAGGUAGCAAGUCGGGUUAACGGCUUUAACCCAAAAGUAUUUUGGCAUGCUAUUUCAUUAAGCAUGGUUCUAGCCAUUUCCUGCAAUACGAGAUUAUUCUUUUCUACUGCAUCAUUUUGUUGAGGAAUUCUAUAAGUGGAGAAAAUAUGUUUAUAUCCAUUCCCAUUACAAAAAUUAUCAAAAAUGAUAUUAUCAAAUUUUCUACUAUGAUCACUUCUAAUAGUUGUAAUAGAGUAUCAUUUUUCAUUUUGAACCUUUCUACAAAAAUGGUUCAAUACAUUCAAAGUUUCAUCUUUCAAAUUUAAGAAUAGGACCAAAAUAAGUCUAGAAAAAUCGUCAACAAUGACUAGCG
This 1068-nucleotide long non-coding RNA is filed under the name Olea europaea subsp. europaea. The record is from RNAcentral. Lineage: Eukaryota; Viridiplantae; Streptophyta; Magnoliopsida; Lamiales; Oleaceae.